RNAcentral lists this ribosomal RNA (429 nucleotides) under uncultured bacterium. RNAcentral describes it as "bacterial SSU rRNA". It matches the Rfam family "Bacterial small subunit ribosomal RNA", at positions 355 to 775 of the family's 1533-position model. The record is from RNAcentral.
UGGGGAAUUGUUCGCAAUGGGCGAAAGCCUGACGACGCAACGCCGCGUGGAGGAUGAAGGUCUUCGGAUUGUAAACUCCUGUUGAUCGGGAAGAAUUCCUCCGGGGUCAAUACCUCCGGGGGGUGACGGUACCGGUUGAGGAAGCCCCGGCUAACUCUGUGCCAGCAGCCGCGGUAAUACAGAGGGGGCAAGCGUUGUUCGGAAUUACUGGGCGUAAAGGGCGCGUAGGCGGCUGCCUAAGUCGGACGUGAAAUCCCUCGGCUCAACCGGGGAACUGCGUCCGAUACUGGGUGGCUCGAAUCCGGGAGAGGGAUGUGGAAUUCCAGGUAUAGCGGUGAAAUGCGUAGAUAUCUGGAGGAACACCGGUGGCGAAGGCGGCAUCCUGGACCGGCAUUGACGCUGAGGCGCGAAAGCCAGGGGAGCAAACGG